AUCUGGCCUUGUGGGAGAAAGGGUGUCUCUGGGAGUAGGCUUUGAGCUUUCAGAUGCUCAAGCAGGCCCAGUGCCACUCUCUCUUCCUGCUGUGUGAAGAUCC
Molecule: microRNA precursor, 103 nt
Filed under: Mus pahari (shrew mouse)
Lineage: Eukaryota; Metazoa; Chordata; Mammalia; Rodentia; Muridae
Description: miRNA (MGP_PahariEiJ_G0007716.1)
Source: RNAcentral